RNAcentral lists this ribosomal RNA (497 nucleotides) under uncultured bacterium. RNAcentral describes it as "partial 16S ribosomal RNA". It matches the Rfam family "Bacterial small subunit ribosomal RNA", at positions 28 to 507 of the family's 1533-position model. The record is from RNAcentral.
GAUGAACGCUGGCGGCGUGCCUAAUACAUGCAAGUCGAGCGAACAGACGAGGAGCUUGCUCCUCUGACGUUAGCGGCGGACGGGUGAGUAACACGUGGAUAACCUACCUAUAAGACUGGGAUAACUUCGGGAAACCGGAGCUAAUACCGGAUAAUAUAUUGAACCGCAUGGUUCAAUAGUGAAAGACGGUUUUGCUGUCACUUAUAGAUGGAUCCGCGCCGCAUUAGCUAGUUGGUAAGGUAACGGCUUACCAAGGCAACGAUGCGUAGCCGACCUGAGAGGGUGAUCGGCCACACUGGAACUGAGACACGGUCCAGACUCCUACGGGAGGCAGCAGCAGGGAAUAUUCCGCAAUGGGCGAAAGCCUGACGGAGCAACGCCGCGUGAGUGAUGAAGGUCUUCGGAUCGUAAAACUCUGUUAUUAGGGAAGAACAAAUGUGUAAGUAACUAUGCACGUCUUGACGGUACCUAAUCAGAAAGCCACGGCUAACUACGUG